RNAcentral lists this ribosomal RNA (392 nucleotides) under uncultured bacterium. RNAcentral's name for it is "bacterial SSU rRNA". It matches the Rfam family "Bacterial small subunit ribosomal RNA", at positions 971 to 1425 of the family's 1533-position model. The record is from RNAcentral.
UUACCGGCUUGACAUGACUUAACCCCUUCGGCACAGGUGGUGCAUGGUUGUCGUCAGCUCGUGUCGUGAGAUGUUGGGUUAAGUCCCGCAACGAGCGCAACCCUAUCUUAGUAGCCAGCAUCUGGGACUCUAGGAGACUGCCAGGGAUAACUGGAGGAAGGCGGGGAUGACGUCAAAUCAUCAUGCCCCUUAUGUCGGGCUACACACGUGCUACAAUGGACUACAAGGGGCACCGCGAGGUGAGCAAUCCCAAAAGUAUCCCAGUUCGGAUUGUAGUCUGCAACUCGACUACAUGAAGCUGGAAUCGCUAGUAAUCGCGAUCAGAUGCGCGGUGAAUACGUUCCCGGGUCUUGUACACACCGCCCGUCACACCAUGGGAGUCGGUAGCCGAA